Molecule: non-coding RNA, 277 nt
Filed under: Pelotomaculum thermopropionicum
Lineage: Bacteria; Bacillati; Bacillota; Clostridia; Eubacteriales; Desulfotomaculaceae
Also listed under: 1 other name
Source: RNAcentral
GCAAAAUAAUAUUUACCAGGUUCUCCCGGUUUUACCGGGGGUGAAAAGGGAACCGGGUGAAAAUCCCGGACGGUCCGGCCACUGUAAGUGGGGAGCGGCUCCCAGGAUGCCACUGUCCGAUUCUCAACGGCAUCCCGGCUGUCGAAGGCGCCUGAAAUUUUGCCUGAGGCAGCUGGUUUGAAAGGUUGUUGUGAAGUGCCGUUGAGUGCAGGAUGGGAAGGCGGGGGAUACGCUGUGAUCCACAAGUCAGGAGACCUGCCUGGUAGCUUUAGUACCG